Molecule: long non-coding RNA, 1268 nt
Filed under: Homo sapiens (human)
Lineage: Eukaryota; Metazoa; Chordata; Mammalia; Primates; Hominidae
Description: cancer susceptibility 15
Source: RNAcentral
UUUUUUUUUUUUUUUUCUAUUUUUUUUUUUUAAAUUCUGAAGCCAGACCGUCUUUCCUCACAGCUCCACGGCUGCAUCUCCGUGGGCACGCAAGCUUCCCCUGGUUACCUGAGCUGCUCCUGCCGUCUCCCGCCUGGGCUUCGCCGUGGUGCACCCGAUCCCGGAAUCGUGCGUCUGCGCCCUGCGAAAGAAGGACCUGCUGGCGGAGCUCCGGCCGGGGUCUCCUGCCUCGCAGCUGGGCGAGGGGACUUGGAGGACAGGGUGAAGCUGCAGAAGACCUGGGGUGGGAUGGCUAGAGAGGACGCCAAGGACUGGGGAAGGGGAAGUUAGGAAUACCUUACAUCCAAUGCCCACCCGUGCUCCGCAGGGCAAGGGCAGCCGUCGCCUCGGCCGCGUGCACCCAGCUCAGGCUGUUCCCAGGGAUUUAGUCUGGGGGGACAACCCAUGGCGAGAUGUGGUGGCAUUUUACCUCAGAGUGGAGCUGAAGAUGGAUAAACAAGGUAUCUGAUGUAUCUGCCUGAGAAGGCAGAGCUGGAGAAAGGCGGAGCGAGGGAGCGCGUGAAAAGAAAGAGAUGCCGAAUGCCGGGUGAUUGUCUGCCGCUUGCUGUGCAUUCUCAUUCUAGGGAGGAUGGCAUAAUUUAUAACCCAGCACAUGGAUAGAGGAACUGUAAAUUGUAGUCUGGAUGUCCCCGGCGCUGUCGACGAAGGAACUGAUGGGCUAGGCUCACAGGCAGAAGGAAUUUUCCUUGUCUUGGAUGAGACUUUUGACUUGGACUUUUGGGUUAAGGAUUUACAGAAAGCGUGGUGCUGGCAUCUGAUCAGCUUCUGGGGUGGCCUCAGGAAGCUUACAAUCAUGGUGGCAUUUGAAGUGGAAGCGAGAGAGAGAAGAGGAGAUGCAACACACUUUUAAACAAGAUUUCAGGAGAACUCAUUCACUAUGUUCUGGAGACCAGAAGGCCAAAAUCAAAAGUAUGGGCAGGCUUGAUUUCUUUAGAAGACUCCAGCGGAGAACUGUGUCUCCUUGCUUCUGGUGGGUAUUGGCAAUCCUUGGAGUUCCUUGGCUUGUAGGCACAUCGCUUCAAUCUCUGCUUCUGCUUUCACGUGGGGCUCCUCCCUGUAUGUGUCUGUGUUGCCUCCUUUUCUGACUCUCAUAAGAACACUUGUUAUUGGAUAUAGAGCCCUCCCUAAUCCAGGAUGGUCUCAUCUUGAGAUCUUUAUCUUGGUUAUGUCUACAAAGACCCUUAUUCCAAAUAAAGUCACAUUUUGAG